Molecule: non-coding RNA, 200 nt
Organism: Paramuricea clavata
Lineage: Eukaryota; Metazoa; Cnidaria; Anthozoa; Malacalcyonacea; Plexauridae
Source: the annotation of a GenBank genome assembly
GAAGAUCUUGGCAAGAUCUUGGAAGAUCGAUCUUGCAUGAUCUUGGAAGAUCAUGGCAAGGUCUUGGCAAGACACUAAUCUUGGCAAGAUCUUGCCAAGAUAUUACCCAUAUCUUGCCAAGAUUAUUCAAUCUUGCCAUACUUGCCAAAAUCUUGCCAAGAUUGUCCGAAAUACUUGUCAAGAUCUUGCCAAGAUCUUUC